GACGAACGCUGGCGGCGUGCUUAACACAUGCAAGUCGAGCGGAGCGGCGAACGGGUGAGUGACGCGUGUGUAUCUGCCCCCCUCUCUGGGAUAACCGUUGGAAACGGCUGCGAAUACCGGAUCGUGGGGGAUGACUCGCGUCCUAUUCGUGUGUUGGUUGGGUAGUGGCCUCCCAAGGCGACGGCGGUUAGCCGGCCCGAGAGGGCGACCGGCGAGAUUGGGCUGGAGUACUGACCAAAGUCCUACGGGAGGCAGUAGUGGGGAAGAUUGCACAAUGGGGGAGAGACUGAGGGAGCAACGCGCGUGCGGGAGGACGGACUGCGGGUUGGAAACCGCUUUCGGCCAUGACGCGGUAGUGGCAGAAGAAGCACCGGCUAACUACGUGCCAGCAGCCGCGGUAAUUC
This 404-nucleotide ribosomal RNA is filed under the name uncultured bacterium. RNAcentral's name for it is "partial 16S ribosomal RNA". It matches the Rfam family "Bacterial small subunit ribosomal RNA", at positions 28 to 526 of the family's 1533-position model. The record is from RNAcentral.